UCUGUGAACUGAACUGAUGUUAAUUUCUACACUGUACUGAGUGUAACAUAAUAAUAAUAAUAAUAAUAAUAAUAAUAAUAAUAAUA
Molecule: non-coding RNA, 86 nt
Organism: Pangasianodon gigas (Mekong giant catfish)
Lineage: Eukaryota; Metazoa; Chordata; Actinopteri; Siluriformes; Pangasiidae
Source: the annotation of a GenBank genome assembly